CCUGGCGGCCGUAGCGCGGUGGUCCCACCUGACCCCAUGCCGAACUCAGAAGUGAAACGCCGUAGCGCCGAUGGNCGCAGGCUGCGCCGGAU
This 92-nucleotide ribosomal RNA is filed under the name Intestinirhabdus alba. Lineage: Bacteria; Pseudomonadati; Pseudomonadota; Gammaproteobacteria; Enterobacterales; Enterobacteriaceae. The record is from RNAcentral.